Molecule: transfer RNA, 67 nt
Filed under: Ictidomys tridecemlineatus (thirteen-lined ground squirrel)
Lineage: Eukaryota; Metazoa; Chordata; Mammalia; Rodentia; Sciuridae
Description: Spermophilus tridecemlineatus (thirteen-lined ground squirrel) tRNA
Rfam family: tRNA
About the family: Transfer RNA (tRNA) molecules are approximately 80 nucleotides in length.
Source: Rfam by way of RNAcentral
GGUUGUAGCUCAAUGGUAGAGCACUUGCCUAGCAAGUGUGAGGCACUGGGUUCGAUCCCCAACACCA